GUUAGGAAUAUUGGACAAUGGGCGAAAGCCUGAUCUAGCCAUGCCGCGUGAACGAUGAAGGCCUUCGGGUUGUAAAGUUCUUUAGCCGAUGAUUAUAAUGACUGUAGUCGGAAAAUAAGCCCCGGCUAACUUCGUGCCAGCAGCCGCGGUAAUACGAAGGGGGCGAGCGUUAUUCGGAAUCACUGGGCGUAAAGCGUGCGUAGGCGGUUUUGUAAGUUAGGAGUGAAAGCACAGGGCUCAACCUUGGAAUUGCUCUUAAAACUGCAAGGCUCGAAUCUCGGAGAGGAUAGCGGAAUUUCCAGUGUAGCAGUGAAAUGCGUAGAUAUUGGAAGGAACACCAGUGGCGUAAGCGGCUAUCUGGACGAGUAUUGACGCUGAGGCACGAAAGCGUGGGGAUCAAACAGGAUUAGAAACCCCGGUAGUCC
RNAcentral lists this ribosomal RNA (425 nucleotides) under uncultured bacterium. Its description in RNAcentral is "partial 16S ribosomal RNA". It matches the Rfam family "Bacterial small subunit ribosomal RNA", at positions 354 to 796 of the family's 1533-position model. The record is from RNAcentral.